AAAAAGGUAAGCUAAUUAAGCUAAAGGGUUCAUACCCCUAAAAUGGAGGUCAAGUCCCCCCCUCUUUG
Molecule: transfer RNA, 68 nt
Filed under: Coraebus cavifrons
Lineage: Eukaryota; Metazoa; Arthropoda; Insecta; Coleoptera; Buprestidae
Description: tRNA-Met
Rfam family: tRNA
About the family: Transfer RNA (tRNA) molecules are approximately 80 nucleotides in length. Their secondary structure includes four short double-helical elements and three loops (D, anti-codon, and T loops).
Source: RNAcentral